Molecule: long non-coding RNA, 2544 nt
Filed under: Mytilus galloprovincialis (Mediterranean mussel)
Lineage: Eukaryota; Metazoa; Mollusca; Bivalvia; Mytilida; Mytilidae
Source: RNAcentral
CAUUAUUGUACUCUUCUAAAGGAAAACAAACAAAAUGGCUUCCAAAACUAAGCAAACCCUAUUUUUGUUAUCUUUCUGAAUCUGAAAUUCCUGUGACACAGUUUCCAUCACAUUGCCGUCUCGGGGAAGUGUACAGAAACAUUGCAGACACAUAUUUUCUAGAACCUACUGAGGAAAGUUUAUCUUCUAGAAAAUCUUUAGACCUCAUGUUCAAUGGCAGUGAACGAAGCGCACUGAAGAUUCUAUAUAUGCUCUAUGUUCUCACGGAAUGCACGUGGACCCAAUCACAGUUGUAAGUAUAACGUACUAGUAAACUAUAUGUUUAAAAAGUCAUAAAAAAAUGUACGUGUAAUUAGAUUUCGUGUUUACCUGACGGGAUUGAUACCUUUUAUUAAAUAUGUUAGGUACUAAGUCAGCCGUAAGCGAUUGUGUAACACAAUUGUGUUUCAUAUCAAAGUGUAAUUAAAUAUAGCAUGAACGAAACAAUUACAUGUACCCUUUAGACACCUAAUAAUAAUGUAUACGAAUAUUAUAGACAUAUACCCUGCAGCCAAUAAAUGACCAUGUCUACUGUGAAAUAACAUGUAUUCUUCAGGGGUUAAUUGCAUAGUUUGACAAUUAACCACAGAGUAUUAUUUAACAUCUAGACUACUACUUAACCGGCCUACAGCUAUGGACUUUAUUUGGACAUCUGGGCUAUAUAAGCCCAGAUGGACUUCAAGGACACAAUUCGAUUAGACCAGAAUUCGUCAGAUCUCGGCCAGUGUCUCAGUGAAAAAUAUUUAUUUGAACUUUUAAACGAUCUUUGAAAACUUGUAAAUUAAGUAAUAAAUUCUAAUUUGACAAUUUAGUUAACUUAUUGACUCCGCCACAAUUGGCCUAAGGAAAUACUUCUUUAGCUCAAUCGGUGUACGCACUUCCUUGCACUUCCUUGCACACAGAUGUCCCGGGUUCAACUCCAGCAGGAGACACAGAUAAAAAAAUGUGUUGAAUCAUGUUUUCUAUUUACAGAUAAGUAAACAACACACUGCUACAUUAAUUUGCACAUACUAGGAAUAUUAUUAUAUUUGUCAGUCAUGAUUUCGUCUUUUACAGGAUAAUUUUCAGUGAAUAAAAAUCAAUCGUUUAUUUGGUACAAAUGCAUGCCCUUUCAUAAUUUCAUCGUAGUCCAGGAUUAACAGUAACAGCAUUAUACCGCUGUUCAAAAGUCAUAAAUACAUAAAUAUAUAAUUAUUCAUUUGUGUCAUUUAUAAAAAAAAAAUCAUAUAUGUAUAAUUUACAUAUAUGUAUCAGUUAUAAAAAAACAAAACAAACAAAGAAAGGGUGCGCUAUUAAAACAUAAAUGUGAUCCAACAGAGGUAGCUUGUGUACGCCAAAUGAGCGUUUCGAUUGCGUGCGUCUGCUUUACAAAUUUAUUGUAAUGAUUGAAAUUAUUUUGACUGUUUUAGAGAAAAAGGUUAUAACAAAAAAAUAUCACACAAUUAAAAUGAUCAAUGAUCUAUGUAAUUGGGAUCAAUUCAGAAGAACCCUGUCGGACAAAUAUGUUCACCAUGUUAUCAUUCCAUACUCAGGCUAAAAUGGAGUCUCUGCUUAUAGUGUCUGAUAAACGGACUGAACCAGAAAAACGCAACCUUGUUUACUGAUCCAUGAAAUUAGUUCAAGGCCAUAUAACUCUGCCGGAUACCUUACAACCAUUGCCUACAUCAAACAUCAUUUACCCCACCGUUUGGAGUAUAUCAUUAACGGGAUAGACCACGAAAACCUUACCUUGGUUAUUCAUUCAUGUAAUAAUAUGUAAGUCAACUGAAACCUGUCUACUAGAUAUCCACAUACAUAUAUACCUGGCAAGGACACCAACAAGAAUUACACAACAUAAAUUAUAUAUAUAAAUGAUAAUGUUAAACUGAACAUACAUUGAAUCACAUGUUAUCCCACAUCAUAACUUCUUCCGUGAUGCAAAAGUUGCUAACAAUUUACUACUCAACUAUAUUAUUAUUUUUUAUCAUUAUUUUCAGAAUUAGAAGCAUUAGUUCUUAAACAAACUCAGAAACAACAUCGAGGAUGUACAUUUAAAUCCGUUCAAUACUGAUAUGCUGGUACAAACUAACCCUGACAGUAAAGCAGCAACGUUGAGGAUGUACACUAAAAUCCGUCCAAUACUGAUAUGCUGGUACAAACCAACACUAACAGAAAAGCAGCAACGCUGGACAGAUGUUUCAACGAUGUGUUUAAACUUUACAAAUCUACGUGAAAUUGUAUACUACAUUUGAUUAACUCAGUUGUUGGAGGAAAUGUGUGAAAGUAGUUAUAAAAGGUACCAAGAUUAUAAUAUAAUACUUUAGACGUGCGUUUCGUCUUCAUAAGACUCAUCAGUGACGCUCAGAUCAGUUAUAAAGCCAAUAGAGCAUUGAGGACCAAAGCAGUUGAAUAUUUGAUAUAUCACUUAUUUUUUCUAUUGUUUACAUGAAAAUACUACAAUGCGUGAUCCAAAAUAUACACUGCCUUAUGUUAUUUGUUUAAACAAGUUGCGACAGACGAGUGGCC